Molecule: ribosomal RNA, 99 nt
Filed under: Aeromonas sobria
Lineage: Bacteria; Pseudomonadati; Pseudomonadota; Gammaproteobacteria; Aeromonadales; Aeromonadaceae
Description: partial 16S ribosomal RNA
Rfam family: Bacterial small subunit ribosomal RNA
Source: RNAcentral
ACUUAAAUUGAAGAGUUUGAUCAUGGCUCAGAUUGAACGCUGGCGGCAGGCCUAACACAUGCAAGUCGAGCGGCAGCGGGAAAGUAGCUUGCUACUUUU